This 428-nucleotide ribosomal RNA is filed under the name Metschnikowia dekortorum. Its description in RNAcentral is "LSU rRNA". It matches the Rfam family "Eukaryotic large subunit ribosomal RNA", at positions 22 to 470 of the family's 3401-position model. The record is from RNAcentral. RNAcentral also lists the same sequence under 1 other name. Lineage: Eukaryota; Fungi; Ascomycota; Pichiomycetes; Serinales; Metschnikowiaceae.
UACCCGCUGAACUUAAGCAUAUCAAUAAGCGGAGGAAAAGAAACCAACAGGGAUUACCUUAGUAACGGCGAGUGAAGCGGUAAAAGCUCAAAUUUGAAAUCUUCGGAAUUGUAAUUUGACGGGUAGAAUUUGUUUUUUAAAGAAAAGUUCACUGGAAUGUGACGCCACAGAGGGUGAUAGCCCCGUUAACUAAAAGAAACUACUUAAUUCUAUUCCUAAGAGUCGGGUUGUUUGGGAAUGCAGCUCAAAGUGGGUGGUAAAUUCCAUCUAAAGCUAAAUAUUGGCGAGAGACCGAUAGCGAACAAGUACAGUGAUGGAAAGAUGAAAAGAACUUUGAAAAGAGAGUGAAAUAGUACGUGAAAUUGUUGAAAGGGAAGGGAAAGGGGGAGAUAAUUCAAGCUAAUACUUCUGUGUUGCUUGACCACAUC